UAGGCAAACGUGUAAUCCAUUCUGAUCUGACUGAGAAAAAACUGAUGGAAGUCAAGAAAGUCUUGGACAUUGAUGCCAUGGAUUUGGAUAUUAAUGAAUCACAUAACAAGUCCAACCACAUUGAAUUUCAGAAAAUGGGGACAUGUCCACUUGUGGAAUGCUCCACUCCAUUGGAUCAGAUCUCACACACACGUGGGGCAAAUCUGAAACACAUCAAAAUGGCUCUAUAAGAAGCAAGCAAAAUGGUUUGAGGGCAAGGGAUUAUGGAAAUACCCCCACAAGCAGAGCUGAGGUUAGUCUCUCU
Molecule: non-coding RNA, 304 nt
Organism: Camellia sinensis
Lineage: Eukaryota; Viridiplantae; Streptophyta; Magnoliopsida; Ericales; Theaceae
Source: RefSeq, a predicted model, not a curated record